Mesocricetus auratus (golden hamster) is the source of this 792-nucleotide long non-coding RNA. RefSeq lists it as uncharacterized. The record is from RefSeq and is a predicted model, not a curated record. NCBI's taxonomy places the organism in Eukaryota, Metazoa, Chordata, Mammalia, Rodentia, Cricetidae. The transcript is spliced from 4 exons.
CUUCCUUUCUCACUGCAGAUCUCCAGGUUCUGUUGGUCAUAUUGUGUGACAAAGCUUCAUUCACCUUAUGUGCAUCCUGUGUCAUCUAGCAGGGAAUCCAGGACAAGCUGGAAUGGGAACAUUCUAGGAGACAACAUCGAAUUCUACCUCAGAGCAUCGCUUGGGAUGGAAAUGGAGUUUGACUAGUCCUCAUCAGGUGCCUGGCCACAAAGUAAAUCAUGGACCCCAGCUCCUGACCUGCAGAUGUGCACAUUGCACAUUAGUGGCACUGAAGGAGGGGUGUGCCUCUCACCUCUCAUCUCCUGGAAGAUUACCAUGUCAAUGCUGAGAUCCAGAGGAGCUCAGAGGUUCCUCAGAGCAUCAUGAUGGCAUGCUGUGCAGGAAAAUUCAUUGGUCGCUCUUCCACCUUUCAAGUGUAGACAACGAGGCAAAUCACCAACAACACCUGUGGAAUCUACCAGAGGUUCCUCUAUUAAAGCCUCCCAGAUAACCCAGAAAACAUGCCUGAAAGAGAAAGAAAUUAUCUCAGAAGAGUCUUGGGAAAUGAAUGUUCUCCUCUUUCUGAACUCUAGACUGGAUCUUGAGAAUGGCAGAGUCCAUGGAGCCCUGUCCCAGGCUAUCACUAACUUGAAAAGGAGAACUUGAAGACAUGUAUUUGGACUAUCCUCACUGGUAUUAGAGAUAAUGUUCAAACAAGUAUUGAAGUACUCAAUCAGAAUUCCUAUGUAAUCUCUAUAAACAGUCUUACAGAACACUUUGUGCCUGAGAGAUGUACAAAUUAAUAGCUCAGUU